AACCUGCCCAUAAGACUGGGAUAACUCCGGGAAACCGGGGCUAAUACCGGAUAACAUUUUGAACCGCAUGGUUCGAAAUUGAAAGGCGGCUUCGGCUGUCACUUAUGGAUGGACCCGCGUCGCAUUAGCUAGUUGGUGAGGUAACGGCUCACCAAGGCAACGAUGCGUAGCCGACCUGAGAGGGUGAUCGGCCACACUGGGACUGAGACACGGCCCAGACUCCUACGGGAGGCAGCAGUAGGGAAUCUUCCGCAAUGGACGAAAGUCUGACGGAGCAACGCCGCGUGAGUGAUGAAGGCUUUCGGGUCGUAAAACUCUGUUGUUAGGGAAGAACAAGUGCUAGUUGAAUAAGCUGGCACCUUGACGGUACCUAACCAGAAAGCCACGGCUAACUACGUGCCAGCAGCCGCGGUAAUACGUAGGUGGCAAGCGUUAUCCGGAAUUAUUGGGCGUAAAGCGCGCGCAGGUGGUUUCUUAAGUCUGAUGUGAAAGCCCACGGCUCAACCGUGGAGGGUCAUUGGAAACUGGGAGACUUGAGUGCAG
This 543-nucleotide ribosomal RNA is filed under the name Bacillus cereus. Its description in RNAcentral is "bacterial SSU rRNA". It matches the Rfam family "Bacterial small subunit ribosomal RNA", at positions 123 to 651 of the family's 1533-position model. Lineage: Bacteria; Bacillati; Bacillota; Bacilli; Caryophanales; Bacillaceae. The record is from RNAcentral.